This 471-nucleotide long non-coding RNA is filed under the name Neogobius melanostomus (round goby). RNAcentral's name for it is "lncRNA (ENSNMLG00000018156.1)". Lineage: Eukaryota; Metazoa; Chordata; Actinopteri; Gobiiformes; Gobiidae. The record is from RNAcentral.
AUCCCUCCCUCUCUCCACCUCCCGUCUGCGACUCCUGUUGCCCUUGGACUCUUUCAAUCCCUCUGUCGGCUCACAACUCUCACCUCACAAAACGACAGACACCCUGUGCUUUGUGGUCAACUUCAUGCAUCAAAACAUGGGAUGUGGAAGUUCCUCUCCAACAAAGUCAGCACACGACCGCAACAGCUGCAGUAAACUCAUCCAGAAUGUCCAUCAAAAGUGUCAGAUGACGCUGAAGCAGAUGACGACAAACGAAAGUAGGAGAUAAAAGCAGCACUGAACACAUCAACAGCUAUAUAUGUGUUUCUCAAUAAUUUUGUGUAUGUGAGAUCAGGAACUAUGGAGGCAUCUAUGUGGGCUUACCUACAGACGUAAGCAACAUUCCCACAGUGCAGAUUGGAUCUCUCAGAGGUAACACAGAAUCAGCUAUAGAAAAAUCUAUACCCCUAUCCUUUCAAAUUUAUAUUUCAC